GGAAAACUGAUGAAAAAUGGGAUGAAGAGUUGAAGAUUAUCGUUGGAGGAAUGAAUUAAAUUAACAGUGACUGCUGGGGUGAUGACACCAAUUAUGAUUGGUGAAGGAGAUUGGUAGAGCCGUAGAGGAAAGAUGAGAUUGAUGGAGACUUUUGGGAAAGAACUAGAGAAUGGCUAUUUCCUCAAAAACCUAAAACAUACAACAAAUCUACUCAAUUUGUUUUGGUAAGUUUACUAAGUAACCUAAUCCAAUUGCUAUUUAAGUUGUAUGGUGGUGCAGACCAAACCAACCUAACUGAAAUCAUCUGGAAAUGGAGUUUACAGCUUGGGUUGGAUUGCUACAGUGGGUUUAAUUGGGUCAAUCAACUUUUGAACAGCCCUGGGGGUUAGUGCUCAAAAAGUUGGAAUUUCUAACAAGCCGUGUGGCAUCAUUUAAGUUUAUAUCCCAGGAUGUUAUUUCAGUGUUGUUAAGGCCUGUGAAGGAUCUUGUCUAAACAAGAAAUACAAAGAGGCUUGGGAAGGGGUUAAAAUACUGCCUUAGGACCAUGAUUAUUUUCAUUU
Molecule: unclassified non-coding RNA, 560 nt
Filed under: Hevea brasiliensis (rubber tree)
Lineage: Eukaryota; Viridiplantae; Streptophyta; Magnoliopsida; Malpighiales; Euphorbiaceae
Source: RNAcentral